UUUAAACAAAGUGAACAUUCACAACGACGAAAAGAUACUUAGGAGAUCCUCAGUGCUCUCCCAAAGAUGGUAGAAUCUCUAACAGGGUAAGACAUUUGUUCAUAUUCCCGGCAUGACUGUAUCUUCUUCCUCCGGAGCCUUUUGUGGUUUAUCCUACUGAGUGGAAUGCUUGUUGAGGUAUUCACCACUCUCCCCUUCAGCGGAGUAGCGACCUUUCCUCCUCAGCAGAUGUGAUCUCCUUGGUGGGUACGGUACUUG
Molecule: long non-coding RNA, 258 nt
Filed under: Lathyrus oleraceus (garden pea)
Lineage: Eukaryota; Viridiplantae; Streptophyta; Magnoliopsida; Fabales; Fabaceae
Description: Pisum sativum (pea) long non-coding RNA (PSAT_LNC016017)
Source: RNAcentral